Sinocyclocheilus rhinocerous is the source of this 373-nucleotide long non-coding RNA. RefSeq lists it as uncharacterized. The transcript has 3 exons. Lineage: Eukaryota; Metazoa; Chordata; Actinopteri; Cypriniformes; Cyprinidae. The record is from RefSeq and is a predicted model, not a curated record.
CGUCUAUGAAGAGGUUUGAGCACAUGUAUAAAACAUUUUUCACAUUAUUUUAUAUCAGCUGUAGUUUAUUUGAGACUUUUUAGAGAGUUUCUUCAUUUCAUAUUUGAAUGGCAAGUGGUAGUCUGCUUAAGUUUUCCUUUUACUCUCACAGGGCAAAGACAUGUACACUGCCAACAUGCAUGUUAUUGCCACAAUCCUCUAGCCUACUCUCCAGAUAAUGCUUUCAUGAAGGAUGCCCUUGUGUUCCCUGCAUGAACACAAGCCACCGGCCCAGAUCAUUAUCUGUUAUGUGUACUGAAGCCACUCUGAAGAGAGAUCCUUCUUCUAGUCUCCCUGUAUAUUAAUCAAAGCCUGGUUUUGGAGAUGACCAGCA